This 85-nucleotide transfer RNA is filed under the name Candidatus Limnocylindria bacterium. RNAcentral's name for it is "tRNA-Leu". It matches the Rfam family "tRNA". From Rfam's summary of the family: Transfer RNA (tRNA) molecules are approximately 80 nucleotides in length. The record is from RNAcentral. Lineage: Bacteria; Bacillati; Chloroflexota; Candidatus Limnocylindria.
GCCGGAGUGAUGAAACUAGGCAGACAUUGGCGGCUCAAAAUCGCCUGGGCGCAAGCCCGUGAGGGUUCGAGUCCCUCCUCCGGCA